This 749-nucleotide ribosomal RNA is filed under the name uncultured bacterium. Its description in RNAcentral is "bacterial SSU rRNA". It matches the Rfam family "Archaeal small subunit ribosomal RNA", at positions 21 to 779 of the family's 1478-position model. The record is from RNAcentral.
CCUGACUGCUAUCGGAUUGAUACUAAGCCAUGCGAGUCAUUGUAGUAAUACAAGGCAGACGGCUCAGUAACGCGUAGUCAACCUACCCUAUGGACGGGAAUAACCUCGGGAAACUGAGUAUAAUGCCCGAUAGAACACUAUACCUGGAAUGGUUUGUGUUCCAAAUGAAUGUCGCCGUAGGAUGGGACUGCGGCCUAUCAGUUUGUUGGUGAGGUAAUGGCCCACCAAGACUAUUACAGGUACGGGCUCUGAGAGGAGUAGCCCGGAGAUGGGUACUGAGACACGGACCCAGGCCCUAUGGGGCGCAGCAGGCGAGAAAACUUUGCAAUGUGCGAAAGCACGACAAGGUUAAUCCGAGUGGUUUGUGCUAAACGAACCUUUUGACAGUCCUAGAAACACUGUUGAAUAAGGGGUGGGCAAGUUCUGGUGUCAGCCGCCGCGGUAAAACCAGCACCUCAAGUGGUCAGGAUGAUUAUUGGGCCUAAAGCAUCCGUAGCCGGCUCUGUAAGUUUUCGGUUAAAUCUGUACGCUCAACGUACAGGCUGCCGGGAAUACUGCAGAGCUAGGGAGUGGGAGAGGUAGACGGUACUCGGUAGGAAGGGGUAAAAUCCUUUGAUCUAUUGAUGACCACCUGUGGCGAAAGCGGUCUACCAGAACACGUCCGACGGUGAGGGAUGAAAGCUGGGGGAGCAAACCGGAUUAGAUACCCGGGUAGUCCCAGCUGUAACUAUGCAAACUCAGUGAUGCAU